UACGUAGGGGGCGAGCGUUGUCCGGAUUUAUUGGGCGUAAAGAGCGUGUAGGCGGCCAGGUAGGUCUGCUGUGAAAACUCGAGGCUCAACCUCGAGACGUCGGCGGAAACCAUCUGGCUAGAGUCCGGAAGAGGAGAGUGGAAUUCCUGGUGUAGCGGUGAAAUGCGCAGAUAUCAGGAGGAACACCGGUGGCGAAGGCGGGUCUCUGGGCCGAUAUUGACGCUGAGGAGCGAAAGCGUGGGGAGCGAACAGG
Molecule: ribosomal RNA, 253 nt
Filed under: uncultured bacterium
Lineage: Bacteria
Description: partial 16S ribosomal RNA
Rfam family: Bacterial small subunit ribosomal RNA
Source: RNAcentral